AUGGAUGAACUUAUGAGAUUGUUUGCUACUAAGAGUGCUUCUAUGGAUCCCAAUGAUAUGCCUUUAUCUACCUUGAUUGAGAAUAAUAAUGAAUCUAUGGAUGUAAAUUUUGUUGGUAUGAAUAAUUUUGGAAACAAUGCUUAUAGAGGAAAGUUUAAUCCUAGACCGUACCCUAGUAAUUCCUCUAAUAAUUAUGGAAAUUCCUACAAUAAUUCUUAUGGUAAUUUUAAUAAAUUGCCCUCUGAUUUUGAGAAUAGCGUGAAAGAAUUUAUGAUUUGGCUAGGAACGUUGAUAGACUCUCGCUUGAUGUUGAUUCUUUGA
RNAcentral lists this ribosomal RNA (321 nucleotides) under Triticum aestivum (bread wheat). RNAcentral's name for it is "partial small subunit ribosomal RNA". The record is from RNAcentral. Lineage: Eukaryota; Viridiplantae; Streptophyta; Magnoliopsida; Poales; Poaceae.